GAUGAACGCUGACAGAAUGCUUAACACAUGCAAGUCGAUUCAAGUUACCUUCGGGUAAUGAGGAUGGCGGACGGGUGAGUAACGCGUAAGGAACUUGCCUCUUGGUCUGGGACAACUGUUGGAAACGACAGCUAAUACCGGAUAUUAUGAGAUUCUCGCAUGGGAAACUUAUGAAAGCUAUAUGCGCCAAGAGAGAGCCUUGCGUUCCAUUAGCUAGUUGGUGGGGUAACGGCCCACCAAGGCGACGAUGGAUAGCCGGCCUGAGAGGGUGAACGGCCACAAGGGGACUGAGACACGGCCCUUACUCCUACGGGAGGCAGCAGUGGGGAAUAUUGGACAAUGGGCCACAAGCCUGAUCCAGCAAUUCUGUGUGCACGAUGAAGGUCUUCGGAUUGUAAAGUGCUUUCAGUUGGGAAGAAGAAAGUGACGGUACCAACAGAAGAAGCGACGGCUAAAUACGUG
Molecule: ribosomal RNA, 462 nt
Filed under: uncultured bacterium
Lineage: Bacteria
Description: bacterial SSU rRNA
Rfam family: Bacterial small subunit ribosomal RNA
Source: RNAcentral